This 459-nucleotide ribosomal RNA is filed under the name uncultured bacterium. Its description in RNAcentral is "partial 16S ribosomal RNA". It matches the Rfam family "Bacterial small subunit ribosomal RNA", at positions 338 to 795 of the family's 1533-position model. The record is from RNAcentral.
CCUACGGGUGGCAGCAGUGAGGAAUAUUGGUCAAUGGGCGGAAGCCUGAACCAGCCAAGUAGCGUGCAGGAUGACGGCCCUACGGGUUGUAAACUGCUUUUAUACGGGAAUAAAGCGCCUUACGGGUAGGGCUUUGCAUUUAACGUAUGAAUAAGGACCGGCUAAUUCCGUGUCAGAGGCCGCGGUAAUACGGAAGGUCCGGGCGUGAUCCGGAUUUAUUGGGUUUAAGGGGAGCGUAGGCCGCAUGUCAAGCGUGCUGUGAAAUUUCCGGGCUCAACCCCGACCCGCCGUUGAAACUGGCAGUCUCGAGUUGGAGAGAAGUAGGCGGAAUGCGCGGUGUAGCGGUGAAAUGCAUAGAUAUCGCGCAGAACUCCGAUUGCGAAGGCAGCAUGCCGGCUCCACACUGACGCUGAGGCACGAAAGCGUGGGUAUCGAACAGGAUUAGAUACCCCAGUAGUC